This 1128-nucleotide small RNA is filed under the name Oryza sativa Japonica Group (Japanese rice). RNAcentral describes it as "sRNA Os01g0117233". Lineage: Eukaryota; Viridiplantae; Streptophyta; Magnoliopsida; Poales; Poaceae. The record is from RNAcentral.
CCAUCCACAUCCUCCUCCUCUGAGAUCGCAGUCAACUCGGAGGAGUAAAGGCAAAUUGAAUCCAUCACAGGCACAGGAGGAGGCGGCGUGCUAUCUCCAUCGCAGAAAAAUGGCCUCGGAGGCACUUGCAACGCAUCAACAUCCCCUUCGAGCAUCUCUAUGACCUCACUCAUUGUUGGCCGAUCAUAUGAUUUCAUCUGGAUGCACCAAAACACAACAAGCCACAGCUUCCUCUCUUUCUCAUGCAUGUCAAUAGCACUAGAUAUCUCAUCAACUUGUUGAUCUACUAUAAGCUGGUCAUACACCCAUGCUGGGUAGUAUGCCCUACUCGAAUUUGAGUUUGCAUUUGGGUCUGCGUUCUUUCUACCUCCAGCCAUCUCAAGCAGCAGCAUUCCAAAGCUAUAAACAUCGGAUUUGCUGGAUAUGACGCCAAAACUACGACAUGCCAUCUCUGGAGCCAUAUACCCAAAUGUUCCUCGUAAAGCCCUAUCUGACACAAAGCUCUUCUCCCUUGGGUACAAUUUUGCAAGGCCGAAAUCAGCGACCUUUGGAAUAAAGUUGUCAUCCAGAAGGAUGUUGUCUGGCUUGAUGUCAAAGUGUAGAAUCUGCAUCUCGCACCCUUGGUGCAGGUAGUUGAUCCCUCUAGCAAUGCCCAGAGCAAUCUCAUUGAGCUUGUCCCACGAGAAGCUUCUCUCGGAUGAGAAGAUAUACCUGUUUAAAGAUCCUCUAGGCAUGUAUUCAUAAACCAGAGCUCUUCUCAUUUCUUCGGAGCAGAACCCCACAAGACGAACCACGUUGAUGUGGUGGAUUCUGCCUAUGGUGGCAACUUCACUGAUGAAGUCUUCUCCGUUGCAGUCGGAUUUUCCAUCCAACAUCUUGAUGGCAACAUGGAUGUCACCAGGGAGAAGCACACCCUUGUAUACAGAUCCGUAUCCUCCUUGGCCCAACUUAUCCCUGAAAUGGCUUGUGAUUGCUAUGAUGUCUGUGUAGGCGUACCUCUUUGGACCUAGCAUCUCUUGCAUCCGGAGGAACUUCUCCACUGCAUCGAUCGCUAUCCUUGUUUUCCAGUACUUGUGGGCAAGAAAUGUGAGUACCACCAGCGGUGCCAACACGAACCUGCAUAGAACU